CUUGGUCAUUUAGAGGAAGUAAAAGUCGUAACAAGGUUUCCGUAGGUGAACGUGCGGAAGGAUCAUUAUCGAAAUUAUUGGUGAGGGUUGUAGCUGGCCUUUCGAGGCAUGUGCACGCUCGAGCCCUUAAUCCACUUUACACCUGUGCACUUAAUGUAGGUCGCCCUUAAAAAAGGUGACCUAUGUCUUAUCAUCAACCCAUCGUAUGUCUCAUAGAAUGUAAUCGAUAUCCUCGCCCUAAAAAAGCGUUGAUAAACUUAUACAACUUUCAACAACGGAUCUCUUGGCUCUCGCAUCGAUGAAGAACGCAGCGAAAUGCGAUAAGUAAUGUGAAUUGCAGGUUUUCAGUGAAUCAUCGAAUCUUUGAACGCACCUUGCGCUCCUUGGUAUUCCGAGGAGCAUGCCUGUUUGAGUGUCAUUAAAUUCUCAACUCCAAGGGUUUCACGACCUUUCGGAGAUUGGACUUGGAGGUGCUGGCCGCAUAUUGGUCGGCUCCUCUCAAAUGCAUCAGCGGAAUUCAACCUUUGGCUUCCGGAUGUCAGUGUGAUAAUCAUGUUGCGCUGUCGUUUGAUCCCUCAGAGUCCGCUUAUAAUGGUCUUCGGACAAAAUCAUCAUCAAAUUUGACCUCAAAUCAGGUAGGACUACCCGCUGAACUUAAGCAUAUCAAUAAGCGGAGA
This 677-nucleotide ribosomal RNA is filed under the name uncultured fungus. Its description in RNAcentral is "eukaryotic LSU rRNA". The stretch from base 264 to 418 matches the Rfam family "5.8S ribosomal RNA". Lineage: Eukaryota; Fungi. The record is from RNAcentral.